Molecule: ribosomal RNA, 439 nt
Filed under: uncultured bacterium
Lineage: Bacteria
Description: partial 16S ribosomal RNA
Rfam family: Bacterial small subunit ribosomal RNA
Source: RNAcentral
CUACGGGGUGCUCCAGUGAGGAAUAUUGCACAAUGGGGGGAACCCUGAUGCAGCAACGCCGCGUGGAGGAUGACGCAUUUCGGUGUGUAAACUCCUUUUAUAUGUCAAGAAAAUGACGGUAGCAUAUGAAUAAGCACCGGCUAACUCCGUGCCAGCAGCCGCGGUAAUACGGAGGGUGCAAGCGUUACUCGGAAUCACUGGGCGUAAAGGACGCGUAGGCGGGUUGGAAAGUCAGGUGUGAAAUCCUACAGCUUAACUGUAGAACUGCACUUGAAACUUCUAAUCUAGAGUAUGGGAGGGGGAGAUGGAAUUAGUGGUGUAGGGGUAAAAUCCGUAGAUAUCACUAGGAAUACCUAAAGCGAAGGCGAUCUCCCGGAACAUUACUGACGCUAAGGCGUGAAAGCGUGGGGAGCAAACAGGAUUAGAUACCCUCGUAGUC